CCCUUAGUAACGGCGAGUGAACCGGGAUGAGCUCAAAUUUGAAAUCUGGCGUCUUUCAGGCGUCCGAGUUGUAAUCUAUAGAGGCGUUUUCCGCGCCGGACCGCGUCCAAGUCUCUUGGAAUAGAGUAUCAAAGAGGGUGACAAUCCCGUACUUGACGCGACAACCGGUGCUCUGUGAUACGUUCUCAAUGAGUCGAGUUGUUUGGGAAUGCAGCUCUAAAUGGGUGGUAAAUUCCAUCUAAGGCUAAAUAUUGGCGAGAGACCGAUAGCGAACAAGUACCGUGAGGGAAAGAUGAAAAGCACUUUGGAAAGAGAGUUAAACAGCACGUGAAAUUGUUAAAGGGAAACGAUUGAAGUCAGUCGUGUGGGAAGUAUUCAGCCGUCUCUGGCGGUGUAUUUGCUUCUCACGGGUCAACAUCAGUUUGAUCCGGUAGAAAAAGGCUGGAAGAAGGUGGCACCCUCGGGUGUGUUAUAGCUUCCUGUCAUAUGUGCCGGACCAGACUGAGGAACGCAGCUUGCAGCAAUGCCGGUCGACGCGGCCG
This 542-nucleotide ribosomal RNA is filed under the name uncultured eukaryote. RNAcentral's name for it is "LSU rRNA". It matches the Rfam family "Eukaryotic large subunit ribosomal RNA", at positions 77 to 631 of the family's 3401-position model. The record is from RNAcentral.